This 71-nucleotide transfer RNA is filed under the name Phrynosoma platyrhinos (Desert horned lizard). RNAcentral describes it as "tRNA-OTHER". The stretch from base 5 to 67 matches the Rfam family "tRNA", at positions 5 to 66 of the family's 71-position model. From Rfam's summary of the family: Transfer RNA (tRNA) molecules are approximately 80 nucleotides in length. Their secondary structure includes four short double-helical elements and three loops (D, anti-codon, and T loops). The record is from RNAcentral. Lineage: Eukaryota; Metazoa; Chordata; Lepidosauria; Squamata; Phrynosomatidae.
ACCAAUGUAGCAUAGUGGUUUGAGCAAUGGACUAUGACUCUGGAGACCAGGGUUCGAAUCCCUGCUUGACC